UACGAAGGGUGCAAGCGUUGUUCGGAAUUAUUGGGCGUAAAGCGCACGUAGGCGGCUCUGUAAGUCUCACUGUGAAAGCCCGGGGCUCAACCCCGGGAGGCCAGGGGAUACUGCAGGGCUGGAGACAGGCAGAGGCUGGUAGAAUUCCGGGUGUAGCGGUGGAAUGCGUAGAGAUCCGGAGGAAUACCUGAGGCGAAGGCGGCCAGCUGGGCCUGAUCUGACGCUGAGGUGCGAAAGCGUGGGGAGCGAACAGG
This 254-nucleotide unclassified non-coding RNA is filed under the name uncultured Gemmatimonadota bacterium. RNAcentral describes it as "uncultured Gemmatimonadetes bacterium contains 16S-23S intergenic spacer region". It matches the Rfam family "Bacterial small subunit ribosomal RNA", at positions 524 to 776 of the family's 1533-position model. The record is from RNAcentral. Lineage: Bacteria; Pseudomonadati; Gemmatimonadota.